GACGAACGCUGGCGGCGUGCUUAACACAUGCAAGUCGAACGGAAAGGCCCCUUUGGGGGUACUCGAGUGGCGAACGGGUGAGUAACACGUGAGUAACCUGCCCUUGACUUCGGGAUAACUUCAGGAAACUGGGGCUAAUACCGGAUAGGAAUCCUUGCUGCAUGGUGGGGGUUGGAAAGCUUCGGCGGUUUUGGAUGGACUCGCGGCUUAUCAGCUUGUUGGUGGGGUAGUGGCUUUCCAAGGCUUUGACGGGUAGCCGGCCUGAGAGGGCGACCGGCCACAUUGGGACUGAGAUACGGCCCAGACUCCUACGGGAGGCAGCAGUGGGGAAUAUUGCACAAGGGGCGGAAGCCUGAUGCAGCAACGCCGCGUGCGGGAUGACGGCCUUCGGGUUGUAAACCGCUUUCAGCAGGGGCGAAGCUUGUGGUGACGGUACCCGCAGAAGAAGCACCGGCUAACUACGUG
This 465-nucleotide ribosomal RNA is filed under the name uncultured bacterium. RNAcentral's name for it is "partial 16S ribosomal RNA". It matches the Rfam family "Bacterial small subunit ribosomal RNA", at positions 28 to 507 of the family's 1533-position model. The record is from RNAcentral.